GAAAACCCCCACAAUAUUUCUAAAGGUCAGUUUUCCUCACUGUGCAACCAGGACUGAGCUCUCGGAUGAAUGGAGCUUCCCUCCAGCCACCUCCAAGCAUACAAAAAGCUAUUUAAUAUGAAAGUCAUACUGCAGAUGAUAAUAUUACACAGUUUGAAGUGACUGGAAGCAUAAGAACUGACUCCUUUUGGAAGAAAUAAUUGUCCAGGCCCAUAAAAAUAUUAUUCAAAGUUUACUUGCAGAACUCUUCAGAAACAAAACAGGAACAUCAAAUGAUACAUCCAAUAAUGUCCAUGCAAUAUCUUCUGCUGUCCAGCACAGGCUCAGCACCUUAGAAAAUACUAAAUAAUCCAAACAGACCUUCUCUACAUUGCUUGAUCCCACACUACCUGCAAGGGUGACAAGCAAAUUAGUCCUAAGACUUUAGAAAACCUGGGUAUUUAUUCCCCCCACCCCGAACUAAAUGCAAACAGUAUUACUUAAACUGGUUAUAAAUCUAAACAUCAAGUUUCUCUUGCUGAAGGCUUGCAUUUGAAAGGAAAAAGGAACCCCUGGAUAAAUAGGGUCAGCAGAAACUCGUUUUGUUUUGGUUUUAAAAGGAUAUAUAAAGCAUGUGCAUUAUAGUAUCUCAGAACGAUGUGCAGAAAACAAAAAAUAAGUAUAAUAAGUUACUAGGAUCCGGGGGGAUUUCCAAAAGUUGGUGCUUUAUUCUGGAUCUUAAGCAAGGCAAUCAAAAAUUCGCGGGGGGUGGCAUUUUGGUUUUUUAAAAAGCUUCACAACUUUGGGGUUUAAACCAUGAGAGCAGCAAGAAUGUUGUGUUGUGCUGCGGUCUGCAACAGAUUAGGUAAAGGUAAAGGACCUCUGACAGUUAAGUCCAGUCGCAGACGACUUUGGGGUUGCAGCACUCAUCUCGCUUUACAGGCUGAGGGAGCCGGUGUUUGUCUGCAGACAGUUUUUCUGGGUCAUGUGGAUAGCAUGACUAAGCCGCUUCUGGUGCAAUGGAACACCAAAACCAGAGCAGUGCACGGAAACGGUGUUUACCUUCCUGCCAGAGCGGUACCUAUUUAUCUACUUGCACUUUUUGCCGUGCUUUCAAACUGCUAGGUUGGCAGGAGCUGGGACCGAGCAACAGGAGCUCACCCCGUGGUGGGGAUUCGAACCGCCGACCUUCUGAUCAGCAAGCCCAAGAGGCUCAGUGGUUUAGACCACAGCGCCACCUGCGUCCCAUCUGCAACAGUUUAAACUGUGUAAAAUGUACUAGCAUUCACUUUUUGAAAUGGGCAACCCUCCUAGAAGAUGAUCAGUAGAUAAUAUUUAAGAAUUUCAUGCAGAAAAUACUUGGGCUUGUCGAAGCAUGUUCUGCCUCAUGUUCUUGUAGAAGGAAGAGUCCUGAAACAAUUCACAUAUGCUGCAUUCUCCAUUCACAGGGAGAAGAUCUCAUCUGGUGCUCACGACUUUAUGGAAUUGUAUCAUUUUUAAAAAAUGGAUCUGUUGUCGUUCACUUUAUUUAUACGCUCCUGUGUUUGAUAUCAUAGUGAUUGCAAUGCUUGUUGUUAUCUCAUGCUACUGCGAUUAUUGCGAGUUGCUUUGAGCUCAAUGUUUGUUGUCAUUAAAACGGAUAUUAAAUCGGAUCUGAAUCACAGGAAAUUGUGCCGAAUCUUGAUCCUCAUGGCGUUGAAUCUGUGUUGCUGGAAGAACGGCAGUCAAAACGUUUCACCUAAAAGUAUCCCUCACCCGUUGGCCCCGUGUUCUUUGGCCUUGGGUCCCCAAAUGUUGUAGGGUUACCGCCUCCCAUCAUCCAAAGCCAACAAUCAGAGAUAACUGCGGUCGUCGUCCAACGGUGGUAGGAGACCUAAGGUUGAAGAACUCUGUCCCAGCCAACACCAUCAAAUUUAGCAGUGAGUUGUGCAUACAAAUAUAAUGGUAUACAUUUGCUAACCUAACAGCAGGCAAAUUAGAAGAGAUUACAGCAUAGCAACUGGGGGGGUUUAUAUGUCAAGUCGCAGCAGUGUUAUGUAAAAUUGCCACUUGGAAAUUACCAGUUCUUGAACGGCAUUUUGGAUGGAACUUUUUGUCAUUUUGUGGGGGUUUUAGUACGAUGUUAAGGGCAAUUUAACUGCUGGGUGCUGUUUUUCAACUUUAUAACAAUCAUCUGAACUUUUAUCUCUGAUAUGUAAUUAUUCUACUUGAGCACAAAUGGAGGAAAUACAUUUGCAAUUCUGACAAAAUCUUUCAGGCCGGGUAGUCUUCCUUUGUCUAUGAUAUAAUUAAUAAUAAUAAUAAUAAUAAUAAUAAUAAUUUAUUAUUUAUACCCCGCCCAUCUGGCUGGGUUUCCCCAGCCACUCUGGGCGGCUUCCAAAAGAAUAUUAAAAUACUGUGAUACAUCAAACAUUAAAAGCUUCCCUAAACAGGGCUCAUACAUUCAUAUGAGACACUUCAAAGCUGCUCUUUAUGUCAUUAGUUAAUGUUCUUAAUGCAGAAGGUGAUUCCAUUUUCCACUCCAACAAAUGCAGACCUAACAUUCAGGAUUUGACUUGCAUCUGCCUCAAAGCAGCAAGCCUGGCAGCACAUUAAAGGGCAGCAAGCCGUCAAUUACUUAAUAAAUUAAUAUUUUUUUUUACUAUGAGGAGAGCCCGUCGUGUGGAUUUCAUGCCUCAGUUGCCAAAAUGCCCUUGACUUUGCCCAGUUAAAAUCCCGUAACAAAAGUUGGUGAUAAUAAUAAUAAUAGAUUCUGAAAUGCCAUGCUCCAAAAACUACAGUGUAGAAAUAAACAACCCCUUCAUAACUUUUUCCCAGUCUGUACAGCAUGUUCUCUCUUCACACAUGCACACACACACACAGUGAAAAACGUGCUGACCAGCUUCGUUCCUAAUGUAUUAUAGCCUUUUGCUACAUGAAAACAAUAAUGUAAGCUAUUUUGGAAGCUAUUUUGGAAGGGCUGAAAUGUACUUUCCCGUUCAGCUUCGGUACAAAUGGGUCACGGUGCUCUCACACUUCGCCCUUCUAUUUUUCAGCACCGGGUACAUUUUCAGAAAUCUACACUCCACCCCACAAACACAACACGGCUACCAGAAAACAGCAAAACCUUGCCAAUCUUUAUUUCGGACGUAUCAUUAAAAGACAUCUCAUUAUACUCCUUUGUGAUAACAUUACUGUUAAUUUUAAAAUAUUGAUUGAUUUUCGGUGUGGCUGUUAGGAAUUUCUGAUCAGAUCUCCACAUUUCCAGUAUAUGGCUUGGUUCUACAAUGGAGCUUUCCAGACUUCUGGUGUGGGUGACACACAUUGUAGACAUGCGUCAUUUUGCGACACAGUGAUUCAGGUUUACUAGCAAAUUGGAGGUUAAGGAACGCAGGGGCUUUUGGGUGGCAAGGCUACCUAUUGCAGCUGGCACGCUGAUGUGUCGCAACACACAAUUUGGAAAGCUCUGUUCUACAGCAACCAACCUUUUCUAUGAUUUUCAAUUUUAUACAUUUCAAUAAUUUUACAACCAUUUUAACAUUC
Non-coding RNA from Podarcis lilfordi (Lilford's wall lizard), 3501 nucleotides. The record is from the annotation of a GenBank genome assembly. NCBI's taxonomy places the organism in Eukaryota, Metazoa, Chordata, Lepidosauria, Squamata, Lacertidae.